CCCCAUAGUCUGGGAUACCACUUGGAAACAGGUGGCUAAUACCGGAUAAGAAAGCGGAUCGCAUGAUCAGCUUUUAAAAGGCGGCGUAAGCUGUCGCUAUGGGAUGGCCCCGCGGUGCAUUAGCUAGUUGGUAAGGUAAAGGCUUACCAAGGCGAUGAUGCAUAGCCGAGUUGAGAGACUGAUCGGCCACAUUGGGACUGAGACACGGCCCAAACUCCUACGGGAGGCAGCAGAC
Molecule: ribosomal RNA, 235 nt
Filed under: uncultured Lactobacillus sp.
Lineage: Bacteria; Bacillati; Bacillota; Bacilli; Lactobacillales; Lactobacillaceae
Description: partial 16S ribosomal RNA
Rfam family: Bacterial small subunit ribosomal RNA
Source: RNAcentral